AUACAACUUUCAGCAACGGAUCUCUUGGCUCUCGCAUCGAUGAAGAACGCAGCGAAAUGCGAUAAGUAAUGUGAAUUGCAGAAUUCAGUGAAUCAUCGAAUCUUUGAACGCACCUUGCGCCCCUUGGUAUUCCGAGGGGCAUGCCUGUUUGAGUGUCAUUAAAUUC
RNAcentral lists this ribosomal RNA (166 nucleotides) under Marasmiellus sp. SFC20120821-83. RNAcentral's name for it is "5.8S ribosomal RNA". It matches the Rfam family "5.8S ribosomal RNA". From Rfam's summary of the family: 5.8S ribosomal RNA (5.8S rRNA) is a component of the large subunit of the eukaryotic ribosome. It is transcribed by RNA polymerase I as part of the 45S precursor that also contains 18S and 28S rRNA. Lineage: Eukaryota; Fungi; Basidiomycota; Agaricomycetes; Agaricales; Omphalotaceae. The record is from RNAcentral.